AUGGUUAAGUUAGAAAGGGCGCACGGUGAAUGCCUUGGCACUAGGAGCCGAUGAAGGACGGGACUAACACCGAUAUGCUUCGGGGAGCUGUAAGUAAGCUUUGAUCCGGAGAUUUCCGAAUGGGGAAACCCACUGUUCGUAAUGGAGCAGUAUCUUUAUCUGAAUACAUAGGAUAUUGAAGGCAGACCCGGGGAACUGAAACAUCUAAGUACCCGGAGGAAGAGAAAGCAAAUGCGAUUUCCUGAGUAGCGGCGAGCGAAACGGAAUUAGCCCAAACCAAGAGGCUUGCCUCUUGGGGUUGUAGGACACUCUAUACGGAGUUACAAAGGAACGAGGUAAAUGAAGAGGUCUGGAAAGGCCCGUCAAAGAAGGUAACAACCCUGUAGUUGAAACUUCGUUCCCUCUUGAGUGGAUCCUGAGUACGGCGGAACACGUGAAAUUCCGUCGGAAGCUGGGAGGACCAUCUCCCAAGGCUAAAUACUCCCUAGUGACCGAUAGUGAACCAGUACCGUGAGGGAAAGGUGAAAAGCACCCCGGAAGGGGAGUGAAAGAGAACCUGAAACCGUGUGCCUACAAGUAGUCAGAGCCCGUUAAUGGGUGAUGGCGUGCCUUUUGUAGAAUGAACCGGCGAGUUACGAUCCCAUGCAAGGUUAAGUUGAAGAGACGGAGCCGUAGCGAAAGCGAGUCUGAAUAGGGCGUUUAGUAUGUGGUUGUAGACCCGAAACCAGGUGAUCUACCCAUGUCCAGGGUGAAGUUCAGGUAACACUGAAUGGAGGCCCGAACCCACGCACGUUGAAAAGUGCGGGGAUGAGGUGUGGGUAGCGGAGAAAUUCCAAUCGAACCUGGAGAUAGCUGGUUCUCUCCGAAAUAGCUUUAGGGCUAGCCUCACGUUGUGAGAGUCUUGGAGGUAGAGCACUGAUUGGACUAGGGGCCCCCAACGGGUUACCGAAUUCAGUCAAACUCCGAAUGCCAAAGACUUAUCCGUGGGAGUCAGACUGCGAGUGAUAAGAUCCGUAGUCAAAAGGGAAACAGCCCAGACCACCAGCUAAGGUCCCCAAGUAUACGUUAAGUGGAAAAGGAUGUGGAGUUGCUUAGACAACCAGGAUGUUGGCUUAGAAGCAGCCACCAUUUAAAGAGUGCGUAAUAGCUCACUGGUCGAGUGACUCUGCGCCGAAAAUGUACCGGGGCUAAACGUAUCACCGAAGCUGUGGAUUGACAUCU
Molecule: ribosomal RNA, 1221 nt
Filed under: Priestia flexa
Lineage: Bacteria; Bacillati; Bacillota; Bacilli; Caryophanales; Bacillaceae
Description: bacterial LSU rRNA
Rfam family: Bacterial large subunit ribosomal RNA
Source: RNAcentral